UAAUCCUCAAUCCUGAGGGACGUGGCCUC
Molecule: small RNA, 29 nt
Filed under: Bombyx mori (domestic silkworm)
Lineage: Eukaryota; Metazoa; Arthropoda; Insecta; Lepidoptera; Bombycidae
Description: ovarian small RNA-19646
Source: RNAcentral